RNAcentral lists this ribosomal RNA (409 nucleotides) under uncultured bacterium. Its description in RNAcentral is "bacterial SSU rRNA". It matches the Rfam family "Bacterial small subunit ribosomal RNA", at positions 355 to 774 of the family's 1533-position model. The record is from RNAcentral.
UGGGGAAUUUUGCGCAAUGGGCGAAAGCCUGACGCAGCGACGCCGCGUGGGGGAAGAAGGCCUUCGGGUUGUAAACUCCUUUAGUACGGAAAGAAGCCUUCGGGUGACGGUACCGUAAGAAUAAGCCACGGCUAACUCUGUGCCAGCAGCCGCGGUAAUACAGAGGUGGCAAGCGUUGUUCGGAUUUACUGGGCUUAAAGGGCGUGUAGGCGUCCUGAUAAGUCAGAUGUGGAAGCCCUGGGCUCAACCCAGGAAGUGCAUUUGAAACUGUCAGGAUUGAGUCAUGCAAGGGAGGACGGAAUUCCUGGUGUAGCGGUGAAAUGCGUAGAUAUCAGGAGGAAGGCCGGUGGUGAAGACGGUCCUCUAGGCAAUGACUGACGCUGAGGCGCGAAAGCGUGGGUAGCAAACA